GAAAUAGAUAGAGACAAGCCGACAGUAUACAGUUAGCAGCAUAGUGAAGAAUGGUGGGAAGUUCCGGUGCCGGACCAUUGGGCUUUCCCUUGUUCCUUGAACCCACUCCCGCCGCCGUUGAUCUCUUCGCAACUGCCACUUCUCUCCGUCUCACUCACUUUCUCCGCCGCCGUAUUACCCAUCACAUUCGCUUCGCCUUCAAUCUCCAUUCGUUCGAUAAGCAGAAACUUGCUCCUGUCAUUGAAUUCUCUUCUAAAGUGAAGAAUGCAUGGUGUUCAAGUGCUCUUCAUUUUCCAGGAUUAAAUUUUCUUGAAGUUAUUUUAUCAUCCACACAUGCUGCUUGUUUAUAUUUCUUUGGUGGUGGGGAAACUGGGAGUAGCUUAAAAAAUGAGCGGAUAUCUCACUGGAAAACAUCAAAUAGAAAUCCACAAAAUGAUCAAAGAUGGACCAAUAUUCUUCUUGCUGUUAAUAUUUUAGCUUAUCUAGCUCAAGUAGCAUCAGAAGGAAAGUUACUCCUAUGGGGAGCUAAGAUAAAUGGUCUAAUUGAUCAAGGACAAUUAUGGAGGUUGGUCACGUCUUCUUUUUUGCAUGCAAAUAUUGGGCACUUGAUGGUUAAUUGUUAUUCUUUAAAUUCUGUUGGUCCCGCGGUGGAGAAAGUAUCUGGUACUUGGAGAUUUCUUGCAGUGUACUUUGCCUCGGCAAUUGCAAGUUCAUCCAUGAGUUAUUGGUUCUGCAAGGCACCUUCUGUUGGUGCAUCAGGAGCAAUCUUUGGACUGGUUGGAUCCUUUGCUGUAUUUGUUGCAAGACAUAGGAAACUGGUCGGUAGAGGCAAAGAAGAUCUUCGGCACAUCGCUCAAAUAAUAAUCUUAAAUAUGGCUAUCGGGAUAAUGUCCAGAGGCAUCGAUAACUGGGGACAUGUUCAAGAAUGACUAAAUCUUCAGGACGCACAAACAUAUUGAACCAACUUGUUUACAACCGUCCAAAAUUAAGAAAAUGUGACUUCAUUAAAUUUUUAUCACACUAGUUUACUUAAUAGCCUAAUAUUAAUCCAAAUCCAAAAAAAUAAAGUCCAAACAACCCAAUCCAACAUCAGUCCAAAUACCAAAAAAAAAAAAAAAAAAGAAAAGGUCCACAUAAACCCUAAACCCAAUCCAACGUCAGUUCAAAUACAAGAAAAAAGGUCCAAAUAACACUCCAAACUAAUGCCGUAUGGCAGUCCAUUUUUUCUUUUGAAGUUAAACAUUCCAAAAUCAAACCAUAAAUCAGUCAAAAUUUAAAAAAAAGGUCCAAGUAAAUGGUUCAAAAUCAAACCACAGAUAACACAUCCAUACACAACAUUAUAGAUCUACACACAAUAUCAUUUAAUGUUAAAAAAAAUCUAAAAUAAGAAAUCCAAACAAUAGUCCAAAAACGAACUAGAUCACACCAAACAACAGCCCAUUAACCCAUAAUUCAAUGCGCACAAAAGCUAACUAGAUCCAAACUAAUCUACAAAAAUAUGGAAAAUUUUAUAAAAAAUCUAGAUCACAGCAAAUAACACCCUAGAUCUAUUGAUCUAUUCAUCCAUACACAAAAAACAUUAUAGAUCUACACCCAUAAUAUCACAUAAUGUUAAAAAAAAACCCUUAAGCAGCAACGGACGGCAGCGGGUAGUUGGCGGUAUAUGGCAACGAGUGGCAGCGGUGGCUGGGGAAGAAAGUUGAGAGCAAAGAGGGUUUGGAGCGGGUGAAUAGCAGAUUUGGAGGGGGGCAAUUUUUGGGGACCACGAACUCGUGGACCCGGCGGCCAUAUCUGACGAAAAUUGUGGACCCGGUUCAUGAUUUAACUUAACUAGACGUGAGCGCGCUUGGAGGAUUUCUAGGUGGGGCUGCAAUCUCGUGGCUUCUUGGACCUGCUUGGAAGGAGGAACCUUCGUUUGAAAAUGGCCAAAGAACGUUUACAGAUAGGGCUCCAAUUUUUUUCCUCAUCAGUGGAAGGAAAAG
This is a non-coding RNA of Benincasa hispida (wax gourd), 1982 nucleotides long. The record is from RefSeq and is a predicted model, not a curated record. NCBI's taxonomy places the organism in Eukaryota, Viridiplantae, Streptophyta, Magnoliopsida, Cucurbitales, Cucurbitaceae.